Malus domestica (apple) is the source of this 774-nucleotide long non-coding RNA. RefSeq lists it as uncharacterized. The record is from RefSeq and is a predicted model, not a curated record. NCBI's taxonomy places the organism in Eukaryota, Viridiplantae, Streptophyta, Magnoliopsida, Rosales, Rosaceae.
UAUCCACUCCAUCACAAAUUUAACCAAAACCUUUCUCUCUCUCUCUCGCUUAUUGCCUUUGAAGUACUUUCAGAGAAAUUGGGAAGUGGGAUUUCAAUAUCUUUUUUGUAAACUUAUUAUCCUUGAAGGGUUGUGUUUAAUUUAAUCUGGGGGAUGACUGCAUGGUGACAUGAUAUGCGCAUCAUAUAUAUAUAUAUAUAUAUAUAUAUAUAUAUAUAUAUAUAUAUAUAUUUCACUACCAUGAAAAACUCAUUUUAUCUUCAUUUGAAAGCCACCAGAGCCAUUGUCCUUGUGCAUUUUCUUCUCUCUUCAAUUCCAGCCUUUUGUUUUACUGCUCAUCUGCCUCAGCCUCUCACUCCUCCUCUUCGGGGCAUGUUAUUUGAGGAGAAAACCAGGCUGGGUUCAGAACCACCAAGCUGCCACAACAAGUGCAAUUAUUGCCACCCAUGCGUGGCGGUUCAAGUGCCCACCAUUUCCAGCCGCGAGCGGCGGGUCGAACCAGGCAUGACCCGAACCAUCCCCAUGAUGUUCCUUGACCCAUCUCAUCCAGGUACCAACAAGUACUCGAAUUACAAGCCUCUGGGUUGGAAAUGUCACUGUGGCGAUCACUUCUUCAACCCCUAGAUUUAAUUCAAACUUCCAAUGAAUUAAUUGGAAAUUUUAUGUCGAAAUUAGAGGAGAUGGGUUCUUGUCUUUUGAUAUUCUUUAGUUUAGUUUAUCUAAACGCUCAUAAAUAUGGGAUGUGCUCUUGGAUAAAAAUAGUGUGAUGAAUCA